AUGCCGGAGGCUUGGUCCCAUUUCUCUUCAGAUCAACAGAAAAAAAAAAACCACUGCUGUCCCCGGCAGUCCGAGGGAAGCUUCAGCAUCAUCCAUCACAAUUUUGGCACUGCAGCCACCCUCGCACAGAUUGCGUUUCCGAGGAGGGUCGCGGGGGAAUGGAAGAGGAGGCAGGCAGGGGCAAACUUCACAGACUGGCAAUCCGAACGCUGGAAGUCGGGCGUACACGCAGGGCUUCGUUUCCACCCGGCGCAUUGUUUUGUUUCCGUGAGGGAUCGCCUUCAUUCACUUGAAAGGAAAACAGCCUCCCUCCGCAUCCCGCGCCGCCUCGCCGCCGGCUGCUUUUGGGGGACGUGGGUCGCCCGCGGCUCCCACAUCCGCACCGCAAUCGGACAGGAAAGCAGGGCUGCCUGCCCCCCGAAACCCACCCACGGAGGGCUCCGCGGACCUCCCCACCGCCCCCCUGCCCUCAACCAUCCUCCCCCAGCCUGUCCCACUGCCUCCCUCGCCAAAACCCAAGUUUGCGAGGGGACGAGCACCAAGCGCACCCAGGGGUGGGCGAGGGCCCCCCACGCGUGGGCGGGACCCUCGCCGCCCCCCCGUGCCCCCUGCUGCCUCCACACCCCGGCCUCCCGGUGCCCCCCGCCCCCGCUGCCGGCGGGGGGGGGCAGCAGGAGGGGCUGCGCGCCUAAUUUUGGGGGGUUUCUGUUAUCAUUUUUUUGGACACGCACACGGGUGGGUCGCCUACCUGCAGGUGCCCGUCCGCAGGGUCGGUGCGGAGCCGCCUGUGCAGCACCAGGAGGGGGUUUGGGGGGGCGGGGGGGGGGGGGGGCAGCGGGGGGCUGCGCCUUCCUCCUCCUCCUCCUCCUCCUCCUCCUCCUCCUCGCCCCCGCGCGUGUCCGUGCCCGUGUGCGCUGCCGCCGGAGGAGGCAGGGACGGGCUGCGGCGGCUGUCAGCUACCGGAAACCGGAGCCGGGUCGCACACACCGCAGGAAGUGUGCAAGAGCACACCCGCACACGGCGCGGGCACGGGGAGGGGGCGGCUCGGACACCGGGCCGGGAGGGGAGGGAGGAGGAGGAGGAGGAAGGGGGGAGGGGGUGGUGAGGGGCGGGCAGCGGCGGGGUCGUCCCGGGAGCCGGGUGAGGAGUUAA
This 1152-nucleotide long non-coding RNA is filed under the name Anser brachyrhynchus (Pink-footed goose). RNAcentral describes it as "lncRNA (ENSABRG00000014352.1)". The record is from RNAcentral. Lineage: Eukaryota; Metazoa; Chordata; Aves; Anseriformes; Anatidae.